GCGAACGGGUGAGUAAUACAUAAGUAACCUGCCCUAGACAGGGGGAUAACUAUUGGAAACGAUAGCUAAGACCGCAUAGGUACGGACACUGCAUGGUGACCGUAUUAAAAGUGCCUCAAAGCACUGGUAGAGGAUGGACUUAUGGCGCAUUAGCUGGUUGGCGGGGUAACGGCCCACCAAGGCGACGAUGCGUAGCCGACCUGAGAGGGUGACCGGCCACACUGGGACUGAGACACGGCCCAGACUCCUACGGGAGGCAGCAGUAGGGAAUUUUCGGCAAUGGGGGAAACCCUGACCGAGCAACGCCGCGUGAAGGAAGAAGGUUUUCGGAUUGUAAACUUCUGUUAUAAAGGAAGAACGGCGGCUACAGGAAAUGGUAGCCGAGUGACGGUACUUUAUUAGAAAGCCACGGCUAACUACGUGCCAGCAGCCGCGGUAAUACGUAGGUGGCAAGCGUUAUCCGGAAUUAUUGGGCGUAAAGAGGGAGCAGGCGGCAGCAAGGGUCUGUGGUGAAAGCCUGAAGCUUAACUUCAGUAAGCCAUAGAAACCAGGCAGCUAGAGUGCAGGAGAGGAUCGUGGAAUUCCAUGUGUAGCGGUGAAAUGCGUAGAUAUAUGGAGGAACACCAGUGGCGAAGGCGACGAUCUGGCCUGCAACUGACGCUCAGUCCCGAAAGCGUGGGGAGCAAAUAGGAUUAGAUACCCUAGUAGUCCACGCCGUAAACGAUGAGUACUAAGUGUUGGAUGUCAAAGUUCAGUGCUGCAGUUAACGCAAUAAGUACUCCGCCUGAGUAGUACGUUCG
Molecule: ribosomal RNA, 800 nt
Filed under: Thomasclavelia ramosa
Lineage: Bacteria; Bacillati; Bacillota; Erysipelotrichia; Erysipelotrichales; Coprobacillaceae
Description: bacterial SSU rRNA
Rfam family: Bacterial small subunit ribosomal RNA
Source: RNAcentral